GAGACGGAUCUGGGUUGGAAUCCCGGCUCUGCCACGCGUGAGCCGUGGGCUUCCCUUAACCUCCCUGAGCCCCCGUCUUGGUAAGCAAGGGGAUAAAAGAGCGUUAUCAGCCUCCCCGGGAUGUCUGUGAAGAUUAAAUGAGCAAGCACACACAACAUAAUGGCCAGCACAUCAUACAUACCCAGUACAAUUAAAAGCCCUCCUUAACUGCUUUGAUGUUGAUUCAGCAUUUUACAGUUUACAAAGCACUUUUACAUGUAGGAGCUAGUUCAGUUCUGCCUCGUCCCCUUAAGGAAGCCACUGUGAGCUCCAUGUCUUAAAUGUGAGACCCUGAAGCUCAGAGCAGUCUAAUGACUUGCCCAAGGUCAACGAUUCCCAUUUUAAAACGAUCGAAUAGAAGCCAGUAGCUCGAGUAGGAUUUUGAGCAUUUGGUUCCGGUAUCGAGCACUCGACACAGAGCGGGAAUCAUGACCCACUGCUUGUCGUGUCUUGUCAAAGGAAUAUGAUUGGUGUUUCAGGCUCAUCUGGCCCACAGCUGUACCUGAGCCAGACCAGAGCGCAGCCCUGCCUGGGCCAUCUGCAGGCUCGGGGAUAGGUCAAUGUCAGAGUGCACAGCAGUUCAAAGACACUAGGAUUCGGGGCUCCGUUGUAGCUCAGCGGAGAGUGUAGAGAACAGGGUGACAAUGUAGCACAAUGAAUAUUGCACAGAGGGUGCUAAGCUUCCGCUUCAGCAAGAUCCAAAUGCUCAUUUCAUCUUGGAUUUUCCCUUCCGGCAGUGCCAUUCCCUACGGCCGCUGAUCCUGGGGACUUUGCUGGAGCCGUAUGGCCGCCCGCUAAAUUGGCUGUUCUUGAUGGUCCCAUGUGGCGGGCGUGGAACACCAACAGGAGAGGAGAAGGAGGUCAGCUCACACGGGGCCUCAUAUGAAGGGACUUUGGAUUUUCUCCUGAAGGAGACAACUGGCAAGGUUUGACCAGAGGACUGAAGCUGCCUGAUGUACACUGUGAUCCUUCUGUUGCUGUGUUAAGAACAACGGAAACAGUAAUAGCCAAUACUUACGUA
RNAcentral lists this long non-coding RNA (1060 nucleotides) under Felis catus (domestic cat). Its description in RNAcentral is "lncRNA (ENSFCAG00000048903.1)". The record is from RNAcentral. Lineage: Eukaryota; Metazoa; Chordata; Mammalia; Carnivora; Felidae.